Herpailurus yagouaroundi (jaguarundi) is the source of this 2813-nucleotide long non-coding RNA. RefSeq lists it as uncharacterized. NCBI's taxonomy places the organism in Eukaryota, Metazoa, Chordata, Mammalia, Carnivora, Felidae. The transcript has 2 exons. The record is from RefSeq and is a predicted model, not a curated record.
AGCUUUUCCUGCCUCUUGAUGUUUGCUAAUCUGUUAGGUGAAAGCAGCACCUCUUACGUUUAGCACUUCAUUGUCUCGUUCGCGCAUUGGUAUUUCCUGUCAGUUACCUUCCGGGGAACCAUCUGCCUGUGCGUUCGGCCCUUUCUCUGCUGGCCGUAGGCUUUCUCUUAUCUGCGGACAGGGGCUCUUUGUAUACUGACAAAAUUAGCCCCUCGGCGGGGCGGUGAGUUGGAAGUAUUUCUUCCCAGUCUGUCUCUUGCCUUCCCUUAUCUUGCUUUUUUUUUUUUCCAUGCAGGAUUUUCCCCCUUUCCUGUGGUUUGUUUUAUUGAUUUAUUUUUAUGGCUGCUGAGGUUUUCUGUCACGUACAGAGAAGUGCGGUGGGCAGGGCAUGGGCUCUGGACUCAGACCUACCCUUGCCACUCCCUGGCGGUGCACGUUGCAUAACCACUUGGUCAACGCGGGGUAAGAAUGCCUGGGGGGUGGGGAGGUGUAUAAGCACCUGCCUGUGGCCCUCAGGCACCGGGCUUCUUUCCCCGGGCUCUGCCUGGGCAGUUUGGGGUAGGCCAUGUGCACCUGUAAAGCUUGAGACCUGCGGGUCUGGCCCUUCCUCUGAUCCUUCUCCUGGAAAGUAUUUUGGGAACCAGAGACACAACGAGCUGUACAUUUGGCUCUGUCUUUCGGGCAAUCGAAGAUGCAGACAUCGUGCCUGCCUGUCACGCACCAGAACGUGUGUGUGGCCGUGGAGGACACCCUCCGGGGACAGCCCGUGCCCCGGGAUCACCAGGAAGGAGAGCGUGGCCGCUUCCCACGGAGCUGGCCGCUGAGGCGACCCGCCGGCUGUGUGGGCUGAAAGCCUGUCUGAGUCCCAGUGACGGGGAAUGUGGGGGAGGGGAUGCCAACACACGUCCCCUUUCCAUCUUACCAACGUGACAUCCACACCCAAGUGUCCCUGAAGAGAGGUUAUGCUGUAUGGGAUGCAAAUGUGAGUUUAGGGUUUUUGACUUUCUAUGUCUUUCCGGAGCAACUUGUACGUUAUUGGACAACAGGGGAACGAGUCAGAGGCUUGGAAACGGGAAACUACAUAAGGCCUAAGUGGAAGGAGAAAUUUUUAUUAAGGCAGAAGUUGGAUUGUGUGGGAUUUUAGAAAGCGUGGUGGGCUUUGGACCGGGACCCCAGAGGGAGAGGAGCCAUAGAGUUAUUUGUGGUAGCGUUCCAAGAAGGAGGGCACGAGACCCCGCAGAGAAAGCUGCUUCUAUCGAGAACUGUUCCAACUAGAGCUGUGCUGAACCCCUGUCAGAGAGGAUUCUAUACUACUAGGGCCGGGACUGUGUGUGGCUAGCCAACGUGGAGAGUUGAUAGUCUGAAACACAAAAAAGACACGUGUUAGGAUCCCCAGAGAGAAAUUCCUGUUUGGUCUUAAAACCAGGAACAGUGGUCUUUGUCCCAAAUUCUCUUGGUUUGUUUGUUCCUUGUGGGUACCGGAACUGACCCCCGUGUCCUUUUCACGGGUGGCCAGAGCACAGAGCAUCAAAGCUGUCACCCACCCACAUGUGUGGUGUUCAUUCUUUGCUAUAUCUUCCUCUUUGGGCGAACUUGGCUCCCCUGUUGGCAGGGGCUGCCCUUCCGAGGCAGUGUACUGGUCCCUGCCCACCAGCUCAGCCAAUCACAACCAGCCUCCCUUGGGGCGUUGGUCCUGGGGAGCCAAUCAGAGCCCUUCCCUGGGAUUCUAACUGGAGCUGACCAAGCCCUCUCCCUCCCCACCCCAGUGCUAAAAGGCUUCCACCUGGAGCUGCGCCCACUCAGGGGACAGUAGCCUGAGGGACUGAGUACAGCUCUCAAGGAGAAUUAGGGAAGGGAGGACAUGGAACCCUUAGUCCCCAUCACUCCAAGACCAUUUCUUCCUCUCCCUCGCCCACUGAGCCAACAACAUUCCCAUCUUUGCUUAAGAUAGAGUUGGAUUCCUGUCUCUUGUAAGACAAGGUGUUAGCUAAUGAAGUUCUCUCUUUUAAUUAACCUAAUCUUGUUAUUCUUUCCAGAGCAGGGUGGGGAGGAAAAGACAAAGGCAGGAAGGGAGGAGAGAAGCAAAGAAGGAAGGGAAGGCUGUGUAAGCAGAGUUUGUAGCUGAUAAAAGUGCCUGUUAUCUAGCUGUUACAGCCUGAACCCCCUUGCCCCUUGGCCAACCUCUUUGCUGUGGUCAGGUAGCCCUGGCCCUCGUGACCAGCGGCCUCCCAGAGGACCUACAGGACCGUGGCAUUCAUUCCCAAGCCCGUUCUGGAUAUCUGUGGGAAACGGAGGUUCCGAUGAGCAUCUCUUUGUGUUUUUAAGUCCAGAUGCACAAAGUGGCUACUCUUCGGGCGACCAGAGAUCACAAAAUGCCCUGCCUCAUAUUCUUCCUCUGUUCCGCUUUCGCGGAGAGCAAGCCCGCAAAAAGCAGCGUUGGAAUAGCCCGCUGGGAAGAUCUGCAUCUGUUCUCACGAUGUUCCUAUUGCUCGAGAUAUUUUGGAACUCCUUCUAAACGUUUUUGAAAGUUGAGGGCCCCUUGCGAGCUGUGAAGAGCAGAAUAUUUGUGCAAGUACCGAGCAAAACCGUCCGCACCGGAGAGGCACAUAAAAGAUCCCGUGAAAACGUUUGCCGACGGCAGGGUGAAAUUCCCACGUCAGCCUCUGUCCACAUCUCACCCGCCAGUCGGGGUGGCUCUGAUUGACCCUGGUUAAUGAAAACUGGGGUCAGUUUCAGGCUGAACUGCUUGCGCCCCAGGGAUUGCCCAGUGCAUCUCUCUCUCUCCCUUUUUAAACAAAGAACCAGUAACUUCA